AACGAACGCUGGCGGCAUGCCUAACACAUGCAAGUCGAACGAGAUCUUCGGGUCUAGUGGCGCACGGGUGCGUAACGCGUGGGAAUCUGCCCUUUGGUUCGGAAUAACAGUUGGAAACGACUGCUAAUACCGGAUGAUGACGAAAGUCCAAAGAUUUAUCGCCAGAGGAUGAGCCCGCGUAGGAUUAGCUAGGUGGUGUGGUAAAGGCGCACCAAGGCGACGAUCCUUAGCUGGUCUGAGAGGAUGAGCAGCCACAGUGGUACUGAGACACGCGCCAGCCUCCUACGGUAGGCAGCAGUGGGGAAUAUUGGACAAUGGGCGAAAGCCUGGUCCAGCAAUGCCGCGUGAGUGAUGAAGGCCUUAGGGUUGUAAAGCUCUUUUACCCGGGAUGAUAAUGACAGUACCGGGAGAAUAAGCUCCGGCUAACUCCGUGCCAGCCGCCGCAGUAA
RNAcentral lists this ribosomal RNA (449 nucleotides) under uncultured bacterium. Its description in RNAcentral is "partial 16S ribosomal RNA". It matches the Rfam family "Bacterial small subunit ribosomal RNA", at positions 29 to 523 of the family's 1533-position model. The record is from RNAcentral.